This 741-nucleotide unclassified non-coding RNA is filed under the name Hevea brasiliensis (rubber tree). The record is from RNAcentral. Lineage: Eukaryota; Viridiplantae; Streptophyta; Magnoliopsida; Malpighiales; Euphorbiaceae.
AAGAAGCCCUCCAAGAUCAAGUCAAGAUUAUCGGUGGCGAUUUGGAUGGAGUGAGGAAGGAACAACAAGCAGUUAGAGCCAAGAUAAAGCAACUCGAUGAUGCCUUGAAGGCAAUAGACAAUGAUAUUAAAACUUUGCAGGAUGAGCUAACUUCUGUUACAGAGAAGAGAGGCAGAGCUCAUGAAAGCAUUCAGCAACUUAGGAAGAACCGUGACGAGGGGAAUGCCUACUUUUAUCAAAGCCGAUCACUUUUAAACAAAGCUAGAGAACUUGCUGCAAAGAAGGACGUCAAGGCCCUGGAGGAGCUCGCUUUUAACGAGGUCGAGAAGUUUAUGUCCCUCUGGAAUGGUGAUAAGGCUUUCAGGGAUGACUAUGAGAAAAGGAUUCUUCCAUCGUUGGAUGGUCGGCAAAUGAGCAGGGAUGGUCGGAUAAGGAACCCCGACGAGAAGCCAAUACUUGCACCUGCAGAACCGGCACCUCCUCAAACUGAGAUGGCAGCGAAACCUAACAUUAAACGAACUAAGGAAGAACCCAAACCAGUAUCAUCUGACACUCCUCUGGCUCAGAAUGUUGACAAAGAAAUUAAACUCAAAUCUGGAAAACCCGUACGCCCCUUGGAGCAAGAGGAUAAAGCAGAGGAGGAUAUCCCUGGUUUAGAAAAAUUGUCAAAGGACAUCCCUAAAGAACCGGAGGUCGAUCUUGCAAAAUUGAAGGAAAUGAAGAGGGCUGAGGAAAUUGCAA